GUUUCCUUUUUCUUAACAGGAGGAAUAUAAAAACACUUAACUCUUGGCUCUUCGUCUGGGCUAAUAAUAAUAAUUGGAACAGUAGAUCCAACUGAGAGAAGUUCGUCUCACACUAAUGAGAGAGACAAAAACCACACUCCAGAACACACAAAUAAGACAGAGGCUCCCACUCCUUCCCCCCAAAAAUCAACCUAAGAAGUUCUGCACCUGAACUGGGUAAUUGCGAGACUAAAGUCUAACUACCACAUGGUCUAGUCAUUCAAUCAUGGCUCUUCAGACAGUAGAUAAGCACUUGACCUAAGUUGGGGCAACCAUUUUCCGUUCUGUUUUGCCUUGGAACAUGAAGAUACGGCAUCAUCUCAUUUCCCUUGAUGAGACUGUUGGAUAAUAUAGAUGCAAGGAGCGGCAGAGGUGAUUACUCCUUGUGCAGAACGUCGCGGUCAUUUCCUUCUGUCCUCUUCUGGCUGUGAUGAGAAGCAUCCACUAAGACUCACCACCAUACUGGUCUGCUGAAUCAACUAGCUGAUGUAUCUAGAGCUCUAUUUUCUUUUUCUGAAAUAAAACACUCUGCUAAAGAAGGAGAUUUACUUUCGAGUUAAGCC
Molecule: long non-coding RNA, 602 nt
Filed under: Rattus norvegicus (Norway rat)
Lineage: Eukaryota; Metazoa; Chordata; Mammalia; Rodentia; Muridae
Description: long non-coding RNA NONRATT032515
Source: RNAcentral